This 573-nucleotide ribosomal RNA is filed under the name fungal sp. PaAP-WZ-3. RNAcentral describes it as "eukaryotic LSU rRNA". The stretch from base 199 to 352 matches the Rfam family "5.8S ribosomal RNA". The record is from RNAcentral. Lineage: Eukaryota; Fungi.
ACCAAAUCACCAGGUGCGGUCGCGGCCCUCGGGGGUUCUCUCCCGGGUGGUAGGGGUAACACCCUCACGCGCCGCAUUACUGAAUCCUUUUUUUACGAGCACCUUUCGUUCUCCUUCGGCGGGGCGACCCGCCGUUGGAACUUUACAAACCCCUUUUUUGCAUCUAGCAUUACCUGUUCUGAUACAAACAAUCGUUACAACUUUCAACAAUGGAUCUCUUGGCUCUGGCAUCGAUGAAGAACGCAGCGAAAUGCGAUAAGUAGUGUGAAUUGCAGAAUUCAGUGAAUCAUCGAAUCUUUGAACGCACAUUGCGCCCCUUGGUAUUCCAUGGGGCAUGCCUGUUCGAGCGUCAUCUACACCCUCAAGCUCUGCUUGGUGUUGGGCGUCUGUCCCCGCCUCUGCGCGGGGACUCGCCCCAAAUUCAUUGGCAGCGGUCCUUGCCUCCUCUCGCGCAGCACAAUUGCGUUGUAGGGGGGUGCGGCCCGCGUCCAAGAAGCAACAUUACCGUCUUUGACCUCGGAUCAGGUAGGGAUACCCGCUGAACUUAAGCAUAUCAAUAAGCGGAGGAAUCAU